RNAcentral lists this ribosomal RNA (1435 nucleotides) under Burkholderia sp. m35b. Its description in RNAcentral is "16S ribosomal RNA". It matches the Rfam family "Bacterial small subunit ribosomal RNA". The record is from RNAcentral. Lineage: Bacteria; Pseudomonadati; Pseudomonadota; Betaproteobacteria; Burkholderiales; Burkholderiaceae.
GAGUGGCGAACGGGUGAGUAUAACAUCGGCACAUUUCCUGUAGUGGGGGAUAGCCCGGCGAAAGCCGGAUUAAUACCGCAUACGAUCUAUGGAUGAAAGCGGGGACCUUCGGGCCUCGCGCUAUAGGGUUGGCCGAUGGCUGAUUAGCUAGUUGGUGGGGUAAAGGCCUACCAAGGCGACGAUCAGUAGCUGGUCUGAGAGGACGACCAGCCACACUGGGAUUGAGACACGGCCCAGACUCUUACGGGAGGCAGCAGUGGGGAAUUUUGGACAAUGGGCGAAAGCCUGAUCCAGCAAUGCCGCGUGUGUGAAGAAGGCCUUCGGGUUGUAAAGCACUUUUGUCCGGAAAGAAAUCCUUGGUUCUAAUAUAGCCGGGGGAUGACGGUACCGGAAGAAUAAGCACCGGCUAACUACGUGCCAGCAGCCGCGGUAAUACGUAGGGUGCGAGCGUUAAUCGGAAUUACUGGGCGUAAAGCGUGCGCAGGCGGUUUGCUAAGACCGAUGUGAAAUCCCCGGGCUCAACCUGGGAAUGCAUUGGUGACUGGCAAGCUAGAGUAUGGCAGAGGGGGGUAGAAUUCCACGUGUAGCAGUGAAAUGCGUAGAGAUGUGGAGGAAUACCGAUGGCGAAGGCAGCCCCCUGGGCCAAUACUGACGCUCAUGCACGAAAGCGGGGGAGCAAACAGGAUUAGAUACCCUGGUAGUCCACGCCCUAAACGAUGUCAACUAGUUGUUGGGGAUUCAUUUCCUUAGUAACGUAGCUAACGCGUGAAGUUGACCGCCUGGGGAGUACGGUCGCAAGAUUAAAACUCAAAGGAAUUGACGGGGACCCGCACAAGCGGUGGAUGAUGUGGAUUAAUUCGAUGCAACGCGAAAAACCUUACCUACCCUUGACAUGGUCGGAAUCCUGCUGAGAGGUGGGAGUGCUCGAAAGAGAACCGGCGCACAGGUGCUGCAUGGCUGUCGUCAGCUCGUGUCGUGAGAUGUUGGGUUAAGUCCCGCAACGAGCGCAACCCUUGUCCUUAGUUGCUACGCAAGAGCACUCUAAGGAGACUGCCGGUGACAAACCGGAGGAAGGUGGGGAUGACGUCAAGUCCUCAUGGCCCUUAUGGGUAGGGCUUCACACGUCAUACAAUGGUCGGAACAGAGGGUUGCCAACCCGCGAGGGGGAGCUAAUCCCAGAAAACCGAUCGUAGUCCGGAUUGCACUCUGCAACUCGAGUGCAUGAAGCUGGAAUCGCUAGUAAUCGCGGAUCAGCAUGCCGCGGUGAAUACGUUCCCGGGUCUUGUACACACCGCCCGUCACACCAUGGGAGUGGGUUUUACCAGAAGUGGCUAGUCUAACCGCAAGGAGGACGGUCACCACGGUAGGAUUCAUGACUGGGGUGAAGUCGUAACAAGGUAGCCGUAUCGGAAGGUGCGGCUGGAUCACCUCCUUU